GACGAACGCUGGCGGCGUGCUUAACACAUGCAAGUCGAACGGAAAGGCCCUGCUUUUGUGGGGUGCUCGAGUGGCGAACGGGUGAGAACACGUGAGUAACCUGCCCUUGACUUUGGGAUAACUUCAGGAAACUGGGGCUAAUACCGGAUAGGAGCUCCUGCUGCAUGGUGGGGGUUGGAAAGUUUCGGCGGUUGGGGAUGGACUCGCGGCUUAUCAGCUUGUUGGUGGGGUAGUGGCUUACCAAGGCUUUGACGGGUAGCCGGCCUGAGAGGGUGACCGGCCACAUUGGGACUGAGAUACGGCCCAGACUCCUACGGGAGGCAGCAGUGGGGAAUAUUGCACAAUGGGCGGAAGCCUGAUGCAGCAACGCCGCGUGCGGGAUGACGGCCUUCGGGUUGUAAACCGCUUUCGCCUGUGACGAAGCGUGAGUGACGGUAAUGGGUAAAGAAGCACCGGAUAACUACGUG
This 467-nucleotide ribosomal RNA is filed under the name uncultured bacterium. RNAcentral describes it as "partial 16S ribosomal RNA". It matches the Rfam family "Bacterial small subunit ribosomal RNA", at positions 28 to 507 of the family's 1533-position model. The record is from RNAcentral.